Molecule: long non-coding RNA, 959 nt
Organism: Panicum hallii
Lineage: Eukaryota; Viridiplantae; Streptophyta; Magnoliopsida; Poales; Poaceae
Exons: 2
Source: RefSeq, a predicted model, not a curated record
CUACGAUUCAGUGAUUCAUGGCCGCAUGGGCCCUUGGAGGCUUGGACACCCCAUCACCCGUUUCCGGAUAGGAGAGCCACACUGCGCCACCCAAAUUUCUGACGGCCAAACCAAAUUAUAGUUUCCACUUAAAAAAUUCUAAGCGACACUCACAAUUCCCUUUUGACAACAAAAACGAUGAAAGAAAACAAAGAGAGAACUAAACAAGUGGUGGCGAUGUGGACUUUAUCCCUGCAGGGUGAACGUAGGGAUGGGAUAGUUUUCUGAGCUGAAAGGAAGCCCCUAGGAGGACACUGAGCGCUGCAGUAAUUCGUGAAGCACCUCGUGUCCUCGUCAGUGCUACAGCCGGAGCCCUGGAGAGGUAAAUUAUUCCUGUUCUCUUCAAGCUUAACCUAAUGGACUCACUAACUGAAACGCCAUCACACUCCGCGCAGAUAGUAGGAGAACACUGAGCGCUGCCCUAGCAGCAAGAACAAAGAGGAGGGGUGAAGGGCGUGGGGGUUUCCGUUUACGUACACGCCGAAGGUGCCGGCGACGCGGUCGUUGGCGGAGCGGACGGCGGCCUCGAUGUCGAUCCCGAAGCCAUCGCCCGCGUCCUCGGCGGAGCGGGCGGCGGCGUAGGAGUUCCACUCCGCGAGCAGCGACGGCUGGGAGGAGGAGGACGCCGCCGAGGAGGAGGGCCCGGAGCCGGAGGAGAACCACUGCAUCUCGGGCCCACGACGCCAGAGAGGACGAGAGAGAGGGAGGGAGAGAAGAAGUGCACGGGAGAAAGAAGAUGCGGGUUGCAAAACCUUGUAAAACCAGCGAGCGAGGCUGCAGCUUGAUUCCUCAAGAAAGUCGUUUCUUUUUUUAAUUAGUACUCCUCUAUACGAAUCUAUCUAUCUAGCCUUAUAAGAACUGAAAAAAAAAUUGCCUUUGGUUUCUUGCAGUCAAAUGUAUGUAAGUUGACAGGUGACAUA